ACCCUCCUCUUCUUCUUCCUCUUCCUUUUCUACCAUCGCUUCUUCUGAUCUUUGUCACAACUUAUGUAUCUCAUCAUCAUCAAGCAUUUUGUACUAAAAGAAAUCAACUAGCAAAUUGGGUGCGUCAAGUUCUUCAUUAGCCUGAACUACAUAUGAGUUUGUGAUAUCAUCUUCUUGAUAUACAUCAAUAUCUAGAAAUACAUUGUCAUCACCUGUAUCCACUG
RNAcentral lists this long non-coding RNA (224 nucleotides) under Elaeis guineensis (African oil palm). Its description in RNAcentral is "long non-coding RNA (EGUI_LNC080859)". The record is from RNAcentral. Lineage: Eukaryota; Viridiplantae; Streptophyta; Magnoliopsida; Arecales; Arecaceae.